CGGGGUGUGGCGCAGUUUGGCUAGCGCGCGUGCCUUGGGAGCACGAGGUCAGCGGUUCAAGUCCGCUCACCCCGACCA
RNAcentral lists this transfer RNA (78 nucleotides) under Planctomycetota bacterium. RNAcentral describes it as "Planctomycetes bacterium (sediment metagenome) tRNA-Pro". It matches the Rfam family "tRNA". From Rfam's summary of the family: Transfer RNA (tRNA) molecules are approximately 80 nucleotides in length. Their secondary structure includes four short double-helical elements and three loops (D, anti-codon, and T loops). Further hydrogen bonds mediate the characteristic L-shaped molecular structure. tRNAs have two regions of fundamental functional importance: the anti-codon, which is responsible for specific mRNA codon recognition, and the 3' end, to which the tRNAs corresponding amino acid is attached (by aminoacyl-tRNA synthetases). tRNAs cope with the degeneracy of the genetic code in two manners: having more than one tRNA (with a specific anti-codon) for a particular amino acid; and 'wobble' base-pairing, i.e. permitting non-standard base-pairing at the 3rd anti-codon position. Lineage: Bacteria; Pseudomonadati; Planctomycetota. The record is from RNAcentral.